GGGCGAGUGGCGGAAUUGGCAUACGCGCAUGACUUAGGAUCAUGUGCCGAAAGGCUUGGAGGUUCAACUCCUCUCUCGCCCA
This 82-nucleotide transfer RNA is filed under the name Candidatus Margulisiibacteriota bacterium. RNAcentral describes it as "tRNA-Leu". It matches the Rfam family "tRNA". Rfam says of the family: Transfer RNA (tRNA) molecules are approximately 80 nucleotides in length. Lineage: Bacteria; Bacillati; Candidatus Margulisiibacteriota. The record is from RNAcentral.